Molecule: ribosomal RNA, 245 nt
Filed under: uncultured bacterium
Lineage: Bacteria
Description: partial 16S ribosomal RNA
Rfam family: Bacterial small subunit ribosomal RNA
Source: RNAcentral
UACGUAGGGUGCAAGCGUUAAUCGGAAUUACUGGGCGUAAAGCGUGCGCAGGCGGUUUUGUAAGUCUGUCGUGAAAUCCCCGGGCUCAACCUGGGAAUUGCGAUGGAGACUGCAAGGCUAGAAUCUGGCAGAGGGGGGUAGAAUUCCACGUGUAGCAGUGAAAUGCGUAGAGAUGUGGAGGAACACCGAUGGCGAAGGCAGCCCCCUGGGUCAAGAUUGACGCUCAUGCACGAAAGGCGUGGGGA